GGCUGGCUCGGCAGCUCCAGGCUAUUCCGAGGAAGAGUCUUCAGAGAGCCUGGGUGCUGAUGGGGAAAAGCUGUUGCUGAGAUUUGACAAGUUUGGUCCUGAGAUGUCAGAAAGGAUUUCAGCUCUUCUGCCACCCCAAGGACGGUGGCGUGUAAAUCACAGUGAGCUGGCUUAUGUGAGGUCGACUGUGGAAUUUGAUCCUAGCGCAUUGCUACCUCCUCUUCCUUGCCUGCGUCUCUCCCUCUCGCAGCUCUAGUUUGAGAUCGGCACAGAUUCCCCGGGUGAUUUUUGAGAAAACUGCCUCCUCUUUAGGACUUGGCAUCCCCUAAUCUGCAUCAGGAAAGGGUGGCGACUGAUACUCUCACACCCAGGGAGCCUGCAAGGCCCACCCUCUACCCUCCACCUGGGUUCUCUGGCAUUGAGACUUGUGCCCUACAGUUUUGGGCCAUUGGGGUGAUGUCCCAGUGGGACCAGGGUGAGGGUGCAGGUAUCUGAGGGCGUAGUAGGACCAGAACCUCUAACCUUAGGGAGGCUUCCUGGGAGCCAAGCUUGGUGACUUAGAAUGUGAAUGUCUGACCCAUAUCCCACUAUCUUUUGGUGGGUGCUGCAGAGGACAAUGGAGAGAGAUUCAACUCUGAAGAGUGGUCUUGUGAAAGAGGCUGCUGGCUUGUUCGGUGUGGCACUGGCAGCCUCCCUAAGGUUCCCAGGUAGAAGUUUCUGACAGGUAGAUUUCAGCUGUGUUUAAGGAAGAACUUUGAAGUUGUCAGAAUGAGCUGUCUUGUGAUAGUGAGCUCCCUGUCUCCAGAGGUAUGCAAGCAGGGCACUUUCACUUAUGCAUUCAAGCUGACCUAUGCAAGGCGUUGUGCUAAGCGCUGGGAGUGGCAGAGGAGAACAAGACCCAGUGGGGAAACACGCACUUGCAACGCUGCUGUGAGGGUGAGCAGAGAAGGACAUGUUGCAGAAGAAAUGCAAGUACAGUGAAGAAUAAGACUGGGGAACUUUUACAAUUCAGAGUGGCCUUCACUGUGGGUGGUCUGAAUUGAUGCUUGUAUACAGGUGCUUCUGGGGUGACAUUUCCCUGCCCCAUGGAGCUCCGGGAGGAGUGCGGACCAACCCCUUCUUUGCAGGCCUGUCUGUGGGGUGCCACUCCUCCUCCCACCUCCCCACCGCACAGGCAGCCCAUCAGUGUCCCUGAGCUGCUCCAGAAGGAUGCAGCUCUGAGGAGGCUCUGGGACCGGCGUAUCCUAGCAACCUCUGAGGCUGGCAUCUGCAGGGCUAGGCCCAGACUCAAGGCUCUUUCUAAUUUGCCAGCCUUCCCUUAAUGAUAAGCUUUCCCACACGGAUGUGGGGGUGGGGAGGAAGAGGGGAGAAGUGGGCAGGAAGUGUUGCCUCCAACCCCAUCACAGAGUAGGUCAAGCUUCGCCCACAAUACUGCCGGGGAUGGGUAAGGAGGGAGGGCAAAGUGAGUCCCUUAACUGAAUAUGCCACUUGUCCAUCACUGUGGCCAGUUUAUCACCAUUUAGAGGACAAUGAAUCCAGGCAGUGAUCCACCAAUGAUAACUAACAUCAUAAAAAGAUACAUGGCCGGAUAUGAUGUUCCUUCUGACGGAAGACCACAACACCAGCUGAAAAAUCAAACCUGAAUCGGAUCAAGCCUCUAGAGAAAGCAGCACCCAGGGUCAUUCCUGGAGCAUAAACGAUCCCUGCAGAACAUGGGCUAGAAGACCCCACAGUGGGGUAGAGGCAGGUCCUGGACUGGGAUCCCAGCAGUGAGAAGACCUGGACAUCAACCCUAUUUCAUUGUGUGGCCUCUGCAAAUCUCCCAACUUUUGGAGCUGUAGCUGCAAGCUUAGACUUGUGGUUUCCUGUACCUGGAGGAGGCCCAGGUCAUUCUGUUAAGUCCCUUGUCUAUUUCCUGUUUUUAUCUGGAUGCUGAGUUAAUUACUUGAUCCAACAAUAAAACUAACAAGGUUUU
RNAcentral lists this long non-coding RNA (1975 nucleotides) under Pongo abelii (Sumatran orangutan). RNAcentral describes it as "lincRNA". The record is from RNAcentral. Lineage: Eukaryota; Metazoa; Chordata; Mammalia; Primates; Hominidae.